AACGAACGCUGGCGGCGGGCUUAACACAUGCAAGUCGAACGCCCCGCAAGGGGAGUGGCAGACGGGUGAGUAACGCGUGGGAAUCUACCCAUCUCUGCGGAAUAGCUCCGGGAAACUGGAAUUAAUACCGCAUACGCCCUACGGGGGAAAGAUUUAUCGGGGAUGGAUGAGCCCGCGUUGGAUCAGCUAGUUGGUGGGGUAAAGGCCUACCAAGGCGACGAUCCAUAGCUGGUCUGAGAGGAUGAUCAGCCACAUUGGGACUGAGACACGGCCCAAACUCCUACGGGAGGCAGCAGUGGGGAAUAUUGGACAAUGGGCGCAAGCCUGAUCCAGCCAUGCCGCGUGAGUGAUGAAGGCCUUAGGGUUGUAAAGCUCUUCCACCGGUGAAGAUAAUGACGGUAACCGGAGAAGAAGCCCCGGCUAACUUCGUGCCAGCCGCCGCGGUAA
This 447-nucleotide ribosomal RNA is filed under the name uncultured bacterium. RNAcentral describes it as "partial 16S ribosomal RNA". It matches the Rfam family "Bacterial small subunit ribosomal RNA", at positions 29 to 523 of the family's 1533-position model. The record is from RNAcentral.